Brachypodium distachyon (stiff brome) is the source of this 125-nucleotide non-coding RNA. The record is from Rfam. Lineage: Eukaryota; Viridiplantae; Streptophyta; Magnoliopsida; Poales; Poaceae.
AAUAUACUCCCUCCAUCCCAUAUCAAGUGACUUUCUAUUACAUGUAUCUAGAUGUUUUUUACGUAUAGAUACAUCCAUAUUUUGGCAAAUUUGAGUCACUUAAUAUGAGACGGAGGGAGUAUAUG